Molecule: ribosomal RNA, 465 nt
Filed under: Vreelandella stevensii
Lineage: Bacteria; Pseudomonadati; Pseudomonadota; Gammaproteobacteria; Oceanospirillales; Halomonadaceae
Description: partial 16S ribosomal RNA
Rfam family: Bacterial small subunit ribosomal RNA
Source: RNAcentral
CCUACGGGGGGCAGCAGUGGGGAAUAUUGGACAAUGGGGGCAACCCUGAUCCAGCCAUGCCGCGUGUGUGAAGAAGGCCCUCGGGUUGUAAAGCACUUUCAGUGAGGAAGAACGCCUGGUGGUUAAUACCCAUCAGGAAAGACAUCACUCACAGAAGAAGCACCGGCUAACUCCGUGCCAGCAGCCGCGGUAAUACGGAGGGUGCGAGCGUUAAUCGGAAUUACUGGGCGUAAAGCGCGCGUAGGUGGCUUGAUAAGCCGGUUGUGAAAGCCCCGGGCUCAACCUGGGAACGGCAUCCGGAACUGUCAAGCUAGAGUGCAGGUGAGGAAGGUAGAAUUCCCGGUGUAGCGGUGAAAUGCGUAGAGAUCGGGAGGAAUACCAGUGGCGAAGGCGGCCUUCUGGACUGACACUGACACUGAGGUGCGAAAGCGUGGGUAGCAAACAGGAUUAGAUACCCGGGUAGUC